GAUGAACGCUGGCGGCGUGCUUAACACAUGCAAGUCGAACGGUGAAGCAGAGCUUGCUCUGUGGAUCAGUGGCGAACGGGUGAGUAACACGUGAGCAACCUGCCCCGGACUCUGGGAUAAGCGCUGGAAACGGCGUCUAAUACCGGAUACGAGAUUCCACCGCAUGGUGAGUUUCUGGAAAGAUUUUUUGGUCUGGGAUGGGCUCACGGCCUAUCAGCUUGCUGGUGAGGUAAUGGCUCACCAAGGCGUCGACGGGUAGCCGGCCUGAGAGGGUGACCGGCCACACUGGGACUGAGACACGGCCCAGACUCCUACGGGAGGCAGCAGUGGGGAAUAUUGCACAAUGGGCGGAAGCCUGAUGCAGCAACGCCGCGUGAGGGAUGACGGCCUUCGGGUUGUAAACCUCUUUUAGCAGGGAAGAAGCGAAAGUGACGGUACCUGCAGAAAAAGCGCCGGCUAACUACGUGCCAGCAGCCGCAGUAA
This 483-nucleotide ribosomal RNA is filed under the name uncultured bacterium. RNAcentral describes it as "partial 16S ribosomal RNA". It matches the Rfam family "Bacterial small subunit ribosomal RNA", at positions 28 to 523 of the family's 1533-position model. The record is from RNAcentral.